GAUGAACGCUGGCGGCGUGCCUAAUACAUGCAAGUCGAGCGAACGGACGAGAAGCUUGCUUCUCUGAUGUUAGCGGCGGACGGGUGAGUAACACGUGGAUAACCUACCUAUAAGACUGGGAUAACUUCGGGAAACCGGAGCUAAUACCGGAUGAUAUUUUGAACCGCAUGGUUCAAAAGUGAAAGACGGUCUUGCUGUCACUUAUAGAUGGAUCCGCGCUGCAUUAGCUAGUUGGUAAGGUAACGGCUUACCAAGGCAACGAUGCAUAGCCGACCUGAGAGGGGGGAUCGCCAACAGUGAAAAGAGACCAGGGCCCAAAUCCGUAGGGGAGGAAGCAGUAGGGAACCUUCGGAAAGGGGCGAAAGCUGAAGGGGGAAACGCCGGGGAAGGAAGGAGGUCUUCGGAUCGUAAAACUCUGUUAUUAGGGAAGAACAUAUGUGUAAGUAACUGUGCACAUCUUGACGGUACCUAAUCAGAAAGCCACGGCUAACUACGUG
RNAcentral lists this ribosomal RNA (497 nucleotides) under uncultured bacterium. RNAcentral's name for it is "partial 16S ribosomal RNA". It matches the Rfam family "Bacterial small subunit ribosomal RNA", at positions 28 to 507 of the family's 1533-position model. The record is from RNAcentral.